GAUGAACGCUGGCGGCGUGCCUAAUACAUGCAAGUCGAGCGAACGGACGAGAAGCUUGCUUCUCUGAUGUUAGCGGCGGACGGGUGAGUAACACGUGGAUAACCUACCUAUAAGACUGGGAUAACUUCGGGAAACCGUAGCUAAUACCGGAUAAUAUUUUGAACCGCAUGGUUCAAAAGUGAAAGACGGUCUUGCUGUCACUUAUAGAUGGAUCCGCGCUGCAUUAGCUAGUUGGUAAGGUAACGGCUUACCAAGGCAACGAUGCAUAGCCGACCUGAGAGGGUGAUAGGCCACACUGGAACGGAGACACGGUCCAGACGCCUACGAGAGGCAGCAGUAGGGAAUCUGCCGCAAUGGGCGAAAGCCUGACGGAGCAACGCCGCGUGAGUGAUGAAGGCCUUCGGAGCGUAAAACUCUGUUAUUAGUGAAGAACAGAUGUGGAAGUAACUGUGCACAGCGUGACGGUACCGAAUCAGAAAGCCACGGCUAACUACGUG
Molecule: ribosomal RNA, 497 nt
Filed under: uncultured bacterium
Lineage: Bacteria
Description: partial 16S ribosomal RNA
Rfam family: Bacterial small subunit ribosomal RNA
Source: RNAcentral